Salvelinus sp. IW2-2015 is the source of this 848-nucleotide long non-coding RNA. RefSeq lists it as uncharacterized. The record is from RefSeq and is a predicted model, not a curated record. NCBI's taxonomy places the organism in Eukaryota, Metazoa, Chordata, Actinopteri, Salmoniformes, Salmonidae.
GGGAAUUCUGGCAGGGGGGAGCUUUUCGGCACAGCAUCGGUAUUGGCAACGUCAAACCGAAGAGGAAAAUUAGCAAACAGUAUGAGUCCUGCUAAGUGGAACAUCUUCGGUCCUAUGAACUGUCCUCAGGCAAUCUGUCGGUUCACUCAAUAUCAGAGUUCAACGAUACAUCCACCCUCUCAGCAUACAACACCGGCUCAGAUUGCUACUGACGCUCAAGAGAUUCAUACUACUACACUGAAAAGAUGGCAGAACCUACACUCCAGACCUUACUUUCUGUCCGUGUAGCAACGGAUAUGGUGAGGAAGAUGACCCUUCCGUCCACAGUCGGUGGAUGACCUGAAGAUCAUCAUGCAAAACAAACUAAUUUGGACUAAUGACUUCACCCUUUAAGACGAAGACCCUAACUUGGAUGGACAAUUGUGCUGUCUAGUGGACAUUGAGGAGCUUCCUGAGAAAGCUGUCCUGGAGGUAAUCAGAUCAGAACGUGAUGCCAGCUCAACCGGAACUGGAAACAGAGAUACUGCCCCGCGCCAGAGAGUCUCCAGAGCACCCAGAGAAGUGGCCUGAUGGCUUUCUGGUGCCAUCUUUUUCUUAUGAUAUUGAGCACCUGCUUAGAGAGGGAAAUAUUUGCUAUGAGAACUCSAAAGACUCUUAAAUUAACAAGAGCCCAGAAGCAUGACGUUCUUGAGAACAUACUGUAGCUAAAGCAAUACACAGUUAAGGCCUAUCMAAGUGGGGGAGAAAUAGGCAAGGCUGCCUAAGUGCUUGUUACCAAGCACCCAUGUCUCAAAGAAGCAGGGAGUCAGUCUGGAUGGUAUGCAUGGAUGACUAGUCAGAAGUUCAAG